This 521-nucleotide ribosomal RNA is filed under the name uncultured Diversispora. RNAcentral's name for it is "SSU rRNA". It matches the Rfam family "Eukaryotic small subunit ribosomal RNA", at positions 571 to 1092 of the family's 1831-position model. The record is from RNAcentral. Lineage: Eukaryota; Fungi; Glomeromycota; Glomeromycetes; Diversisporales; Diversisporaceae.
CAGCCGCGUAAUUCCAGCUCCAAUAGCGUAUAUUAAAGUUGUUGCAGUUAAAAAGCUCGUAGUUGAACUUCGGGGUCUACCCAUUGGUCAGGCUUAAUUGUCUGCACUGGUGAGAUGGAUCUCUACCUUCUGAGGAACUUUCAUGCCAUUUAUUUGGUGUGAUGGGAAAUCAGGACUGUUACUUUGAAAAAAUUAGAGUGUUUAAAGCAGACUAUCGUCUGAAUACAUUAGCAUGGAAUAAUGAAAUAGGACGGACUGAUUCUAUUUCGUUGGUUUCUAGGAUCACCGUAAUGAUUAAUAGGGAUAGUUGGGGGCAUUAGUAUUCAAUUGUCAGAGGUGAAAUUCUUGGAUUUAUUGAAGACUAACUACUGCGAAAGCAUUUGCCAAGGAUGUUUUCAUUAAUCAAGAACGAAAGUUAGGGGAUCGAAGACGAUCAGAUACCGUCGUAGUCUUAACCAUAAACUAUGCCGACUAGGGAUCGGACGAAGUUAAUUUUAUAAUGACGCGUUCGACACCUUACG